RNAcentral lists this ribosomal RNA (406 nucleotides) under uncultured bacterium. RNAcentral's name for it is "partial 16S ribosomal RNA". It matches the Rfam family "Bacterial small subunit ribosomal RNA", at positions 30 to 526 of the family's 1533-position model. The record is from RNAcentral.
AUUGAACGCUGGCGGCAGGCCUAACACAUGCAAGUCGAACGAGUGGCGGACGGGUGAGUAAUGUCUGGGAAACUGCCUGAUGGAGGGGGAUAACUACUGGAAACGGUAGCUAAUACCGCCUACCAUCGGAUGUGCCCAGAUGGGAUUAGCUAGUAGGUGUGGUAAAGGCUCACCUAGGCGACGAUCCCUAGCUGGUCUGAGAGGUUGACCGGCCAAACUGGAACUGAGACACGGUCCAGACUCCUACGGGAGGCAGCAGUGGGGAAUAUUGCACAAGGGGGGCAAGCCUGAUGCAGCCAUGCCGGGUGGAGGAAGAAGGCCUUCGGGUUGUAAAGUACGUUCAGCGGGGAGGCGUUACCCGCAGAAGAAGCACCGGCUAACUCCGUGCCAGCAGCCGCGGUAAUUC